AAGAAAAAAAAGGAGCUGUGCCAGCCAGCUCCAGGAUUGCUCAACACUAAUGAAAUUCCUCUCACUCUCGCAGGUAGAGUAUUCCAUACACUCGCGAUCCCCGAGGCACGUUGAACAGACUGAUGGAGUGAGAGCAGGUCGGGGAGUUCACGCUGGCUUUCAAGCUGCUGUCCUGUCUCUGCCAGCGCGCUCAUCUGCUGCCUGUCAAGAUGUCUCCUUGUUUAUGACUCCGAACACUCCGCUGGGCCUCCCUCCAUUGCAACCGGCUCGUACCUCGCACUCCCUUUCGCUCCACCUGCCCGUCACUCUCUCUUUCUGAGUGAUACACCGAGCCGCGCCGGUAUGCCUUCGAAUAAGCGACAAUGAGGACAUUGUGAUGUUUCGAAGAUUUUUCACAUCAAACUUGCGCACUUCCCGGAUCCUGUUGGUGCCAUUAUAGGCGUGGUGCAACAUGGUGACCUUCAUAAUUGGCGCACACCAAGCACGCUUUGGGUUAUUUACCAAAUGUGUACAUAUCUGGCGGGGGUUUAUUCGUGUCUCCAGUGACGUUUUUUUUUUUUAAAGGUUGACUGAGUUCAUUCCAGAGUAAAGCUAAACAAAGCUUCUACGUAUCUCCGUGGUUCUCUAAACGGCAACACGUGAUCGGCUUGCUUUUACGAUCCAAUGGACGAACGGCAGGCUGAACCCGAGGCAGCAAACAAGUGUGUGUGUGUCUGUAUUGGGGGCCGUGGGAGGGGGGGGGGGGUCUAUUUUAAGUAAGUCAACUAGCCUACAUUGAAAUAGUGUGAGAAUAUGAGACAGGGAAGGAAAAUGAAGAUAUUAGCAGUCAGUGACGAGGCGAUUCUGAUUGUUGAGGGCCCAGGGCGAGCAGCAGCAGCUGACACUGUUUCAUAUCAUCUCUGUAUGAUACUAAUCAGACACCCUGUGGUCCUGUUGCUUCUUUGGACCAGGCUCUCAUUCCUUUAGCAUAUAUUAGCUUAUAAGGACAACGUUUGGCACCACUAGUUUUCUCAUCGGACUUCAGCCAUUUGAUUGGCAUCUCAAUGCUGCUAAGAUUAUUUGAAAUGUUAUUAUGUGAUAUGAAAUAUUAUAUUCUGUCUUGCUGGUGGCAGCCCAAAUCAGCUGAUUAUAUACGAGGUGGCAGGUUGAAAUAAAAAAUCCUCCACUUUAGGGGGCAUACGUUGAGAUGAGAUACAUUUUAACGGCAUAUGAUUUUUGUAAUAUAUCAGGCAAGUUGAAACAGGUUUUAUCAUAAAAUUAUGAGGAUGAUGUAAAAGUGUCAUUGGACAUUAUUGAGAUUAUAAUUAUGAGAGAAUUAAUUAAAAAUAAUCAUAAGAGUACAACAAGUGAUUGUUAUCACGACUUUUCUUCUUUGACUGGCUGGGAGAA
Long non-coding RNA from Hippocampus zosterae (dwarf seahorse), 1389 nucleotides. RefSeq lists it as uncharacterized. The record is from RefSeq and is a predicted model, not a curated record. The transcript is spliced from 3 exons. Lineage: Eukaryota; Metazoa; Chordata; Actinopteri; Syngnathiformes; Syngnathidae.